CCUACGGGGGGCAGCAGUGGGGAAUAUUGGACAAUGGGCGAAAGCCUGAUCCAGCCAUGCCGCGUGUGUGAAGAAGGCCUUCGGGUUGUAAAGCACUUUCAGUGGGGAAGAAAGCCUUGGGGCUAAUACCCUCGAGGAAGGACAUCACCCACAGAAGAAGCACCGGCUAACUCCGUGCCAGCAGCCGCGGUAAUACGGAGGGUGCGAGCGUUAAUCGGAAUUACUGGGCGUAAAGCGCGCGUAGGCGGUCUGAUAAGCCGGUUGUGAAAGCCCCGGGCUCAACCUGGGAACGGCAUCCGGAACUGUCAGGCUAGAGUGCAGGAGAGGAAGGUAGAAUUACCGGUGUAGCGGUGAAAUGCGUAGAGAUCGGGAGGAAUACCAGUGGCGGAGGCGGCCUUCUGGACUGACACUGACGCUGAGGUGCGAAAGCGUGGGUAGCAAACAGGAUGAGAUACCCUGUAGU
This 463-nucleotide ribosomal RNA is filed under the name Vreelandella stevensii. RNAcentral describes it as "partial 16S ribosomal RNA". It matches the Rfam family "Bacterial small subunit ribosomal RNA", at positions 338 to 794 of the family's 1533-position model. Lineage: Bacteria; Pseudomonadati; Pseudomonadota; Gammaproteobacteria; Oceanospirillales; Halomonadaceae. The record is from RNAcentral.